Mytilus californianus (California mussel) is the source of this 410-nucleotide long non-coding RNA. RefSeq lists it as uncharacterized. NCBI's taxonomy places the organism in Eukaryota, Metazoa, Mollusca, Bivalvia, Mytilida, Mytilidae. The record is from RefSeq and is a predicted model, not a curated record. The transcript is spliced from 4 exons.
CAUUUGGUGGUUGUUCCAAAUAUUACAUGUAUCUACAGCUUAACAGGACAAGGUUCGUGUUUGAUCGAGAGUUUGACAAUUGUGCAGGAGUAUACCAAGACGUCCAAGCAUCAACUAGACAGAUCUGUAACGAUAUGAAUAAUUCAGACGUUUGCACCUUUAAUCUUUCUGGAGUAAUUAGGAAAGACCCAAAAUGUUUUCAAUCAAAUGGACUUUUGGUUGAGUUUACAUGUGAAGAGAGAGUAUCAAAUAUCUCAGACGAUACACAUAAGACACAUGUUCCCCUAGGCACAGAUUUGGUUAUUGGUAUUGUUGUCGCUAUCGUGUUGUUAGCGUGUGGUGUGGUUUUAAUUAUUUGUCUCAAAAGAAGGCGUGGUUUGUGCAGAAAACCUAAAGAAAACCAGAAAAAC